CAGUCGAGCGGACAGAAGGGAGCUUGCUCCCGGAUGUUAGCGGCGGACGGGUGAGUAACACGUGGGUAACCUGCCUGUAAGACUGGGAUAACUCCGGGAAACCGGAGCUAAUACCGGAUAGUUCCUUGAACCGCAUGGUUCAAGGAUGAAAGACGGUUUCGGCUGUCACUUACAGAUGGACCCGCGGCGCAUUAGCUAGUUGGUGGGGUAAUGGCUCACCAAGGCGACGAUGCGUAGCCGACCUGAGAGGGUGAUCGGCCACACUGGGACUGAGACACGGCCCAGACUCCUACGGGAGGCAGCAGUAGGGAAUCUUCCGCAAUGGACGAAAGUCUGACGGAGCAACGCCGCGUGAGUGAUGAAGGUUUUCGGAUCGUAAAGCUCUGUUGUUAGGGAAGAACAAGUGCGAGAGUAACUGCUCGCACCUUGACGGUACCUAACCAGAAAGCCACGGCUAACUACGUGCCAGCAGCCGCGGUAAUACGUAGGUGGCAAGCGUUGUCCGGAAUUAUUGGGCGUAAAGGGCUCGCAGGCGGUUUCUUAAGUCUGAUGUGAAAGCCCCCGGCUCAACCGGGGAGGGUCAUUGGAAACUGGGAAACUUGAGUGCAGAAGAGGAGAGUGGAAAUUCCACGUGUAGCGGUGAAAUGCGUAGAGAUGUGUAGGAACACCAGUGGCGAAGGCGACUCUCUGGUCUGUAACUGACGCUGAGGAGCGAAAGCGUGGGGAGCGAACAGGAUUAGAUACCCUGGGUAGUCCACGCCGUAAACGAUGAGUGCUAAGUGUUAAGGGGGUUUCCGCCCCUUAGUGCUGCAGCUAACGCAUUAAGCACCUCCGCCCUGGGGAGUACGGUCGCA
This 854-nucleotide ribosomal RNA is filed under the name Bacillus safensis. RNAcentral describes it as "bacterial SSU rRNA". It matches the Rfam family "Bacterial small subunit ribosomal RNA", at positions 59 to 890 of the family's 1533-position model. The record is from RNAcentral. Lineage: Bacteria; Bacillati; Bacillota; Bacilli; Caryophanales; Bacillaceae.